This 892-nucleotide ribosomal RNA is filed under the name uncultured bacterium. RNAcentral's name for it is "bacterial SSU rRNA". It matches the Rfam family "Bacterial small subunit ribosomal RNA", at positions 505 to 1397 of the family's 1533-position model. The record is from RNAcentral.
GUGCCAGCCGCCGCGGUAAUACGUAGGUGGCAAGCGUUGUCCGGAUUUAUUGGGCGUAAAGCGAGCGCAGGCGGUUUCUUAAGUCUGAUGUGAAAGCCUUCGGCUCAACCGAAGAGGUGCAUCGGAAACUGGGAAACUUGAGUGCAGAAGAGGACAGUGGAACUCCAUGUGUAGCGGUGAAAUGCGUAGAUAUAUGGAAGAACACCAGUGGCGAAGGCGGCUGUCUGGUCUGUAACUGACGCUGAGGCUCGAAAGCAUGGGUAGCAAACAGGAUUAGAUACCCUGGUAGUCCAUGCCGUAAACGAUGAGUGCUAGGUGUUGGAGGGUUUCCGCCCUUCAGUGCCGCAGCUAACGCAUUAAGCACUCCGCCUGGGGAGUACGACCGCAAGGUUGAAACUCAAAGGAAUUGACGGGGGCCCGCACAAGCGGUGGAGCAUGUGGUUUAAUUCGAAGCAACGCGAAGAACCUUACCAGGUCUUGACAUCCUUUGACCACUCUAGAGAUAGAGCUUUCCCUUCGGGGACAAAGUGACAGGUGGUGCAUGGUUGUCGUCAGCUCGUGUCGUGAGAUGUUGGGUUAAGUCCCGCAACGAGCGCAACCCUUAUUACUAGUUGCCAGCAUUAAGUUGGGCACUCUAGUGAGACUGCCGGUGACAAACCGGAGGAAGGUGGGGACGACGUCAAAUCAUCAUGCCCCUUAUGACCUGGGCUACACACGUGCUACAAUGGAUGGUACAACGAGUUGCGAGACCGCGAGGUUUAGCUAAUCUCUUAAAACCAUUCUCAGUUCGGAUUGUAGGCUGCAACUCGCCUACAUGAAGCCGGAAUCGCUAGUAAUCGCGGAUCAGCAUGCCGCGGUGAAUACGUUCCCGGGCCUUGUACACACCGCCCGU